GUAGGUGGCAAGCGUUGUCCGGAAUUAUUGGGCGUAAAGCGCGCGCAGGCGGUUCUUUAAGUCUGAUGUGAAAGCCCACGGCUCAACCGUGGAGGGUCAUUGGAAACUGGAGAACUUGAGUACAGAAGAGGAAAGCGGAAUUCCACGCGUAGCGGUGAAAUGCGUAGAGAUGUGGAGGAACACCAGUGGCGAAGGCGGCUUUCUGGUCUGUAACUGACGCUGAGGCGCGAAAGCGUGGGGAGCAAACAGGAUUAGAUACCCUGGUAGUCCACGCCGUAAACGAUGAGUGCUAAGUGUUAGGGGGUUUCCGCCCCCCUUAGAGCUGCAGCUAACGCAUUAAGCACUCCGCCUGGGAGUACGGCCGCAAGGCUGA
This 373-nucleotide ribosomal RNA is filed under the name uncultured organism. RNAcentral's name for it is "partial 16S ribosomal RNA". It matches the Rfam family "Bacterial small subunit ribosomal RNA", at positions 527 to 897 of the family's 1533-position model. The record is from RNAcentral.